UAUCCUGGCUCAGGAUGAACGCUAGCUAUAGGCUUAACACAUGCAAGUCGAGGGGAAACGGCAGAGAGUGCUUGCACACUUUGGACGUCGACCGGCGCACGGGUGAGUAACGCGUAUCCAACCUGCCCUUUACUUGGGGAUAACCCGUUGAAAGACGGACUAAUACCCAAUGAUAUUCAUUGAUGACAUCUGAUUUGAAUUAAAGAUUUAUCGGUAUAGGAUGGGGAUGCGUCUGAUUAGCUUGUUGGUGAGGUAACGGCUCACCAAGGCAACGAUCAGUAGGGGUUCUGAGAGGAAGGUCCCCCACAUUGGAACUGAGACACGGUCCAAACUCCUACGGGAGGCAGCAGUGAGGAAUAUUGGUCAAUGGACGAGAGUCUGAACCAGCCAAGUAGCGUGCAGGAUGACGGCCCUAUGGGUUGUAAACUGCUUUUGUUUGGGAAUAAUCGACAUUACGUGUAAUGUUUUGCAUGUACCAUUCGAAUAAGGACCGGCUAAUUCCGUG
RNAcentral lists this ribosomal RNA (505 nucleotides) under uncultured Prevotella sp. RNAcentral describes it as "bacterial SSU rRNA". It matches the Rfam family "Bacterial small subunit ribosomal RNA", at positions 15 to 507 of the family's 1533-position model. The record is from RNAcentral. Lineage: Bacteria; Pseudomonadati; Bacteroidota; Bacteroidia; Bacteroidales; Prevotellaceae.